This 558-nucleotide long non-coding RNA is filed under the name Daucus carota (carrot). Its description in RNAcentral is "long non-coding RNA (DCAR_LNC002590)". The record is from RNAcentral. Lineage: Eukaryota; Viridiplantae; Streptophyta; Magnoliopsida; Apiales; Apiaceae.
UUUUGAUUGGUGUGGUUGUUGUAACUGCAGGGGGUCCACCAUUAUUAAAGAAAGUAAGCCAAUAGAAACCAUCCAAUUUCAUAAAAUUUGAUGCUUAGUGUGUGCCCAUGGAAAAACCGUAUAUAUAAAGCUUACUAUAAUCCCUCACAAUCAGGGCAUUCACGGGAAUUGCAAUCAGGGCAGUCCCGGGAUCUGAAGCCAGGUCGAGGUAGGGGAGGGGCUCUCUUUCUGUCCUGCUUGAGGAAAAUCUGAAGCUGCUGGCUUCCCGUAUGUUAAUAAUUUUCUGUUUUCAUCUGCAAUAUAUGUAACACCUACUUAACUUACCUUAACAACAAGCAAUCACGGUAAUUACAUUCAAAUCAAAUAUUUCGAAACUCAGCUAAAUUUGAUUGCACUACCAGAAAAUUCGAAUUAAAUAUAGUAAAUUUUACAUUAAAUAGGUUUUAAAGACACGAACCUUCAUGAUUUGAUGAAAUCAAAGAUAAGAUGGAGAUGAUUAUCAGGAUGGAAUAAACAAUUCUCGCGCAAGAGGAGGAAGCCAUGUUCAGGUUUCUCAAU